Molecule: ribosomal RNA, 531 nt
Filed under: uncultured bacterium
Lineage: Bacteria
Description: bacterial SSU rRNA
Rfam family: Bacterial small subunit ribosomal RNA
Source: RNAcentral
AAUAGAUACCCUGGUAGUCCACGCCGUAAACUAUGGAUACUAGCUGUUGGAGGUAUCGACCCCUUCAGUAGCGAAGCUAACGCGUUAAGUAUCCUGCCUGUGGAGUACGGUCGCAAGACUAAAACAUAAAGGAAUUGACGGGGACCCGCACAAGUAGCGGAUGAUGUUCUUUAAUUCGAUGAUAAGCGAAGAACCUUACCUGGGUUUGACAUCCUUGGAAUUUCUGCGAAAGCAGAGAGUGCUUUAUUGAACCAAGUGACAGAUGAUGCAUGGCCGUCGUCAGCUCGUGUCGUGAGAUGUUUGGUUAAGUCCAUUAACGAGCGCAACCCUUGUGAAUAGUUGUAUUUUCUAUUCAGACUGCCCCGGUAACGGGGAGGAAGGAGGGGAUGAGGUCAGGUCUGUAUUUCUCUUACACCCAGGGCUAGAAACGUCAUACAAUGGCAAGUACAAUGCGCAGCAAAACCGCGAGGUGGAGCAAAUCGCAUCAAAACUGGUCCCAGUUCGGAUAAGAGGCUGAAACUCGCCUCUUUG